Molecule: ribosomal RNA, 253 nt
Filed under: uncultured bacterium
Lineage: Bacteria
Description: partial 16S ribosomal RNA
Rfam family: Bacterial small subunit ribosomal RNA
Source: RNAcentral
UACGAAGGGAGCUAGCGUUGUUCGGAAUUACUGGGCGUAAAGGGCGUGUAGGCGGUUUGAUAAGUUGGAAGUGAAAUCCCAGAGCUUAACUCUGGAAUGGCUUUCAAAACUAUUAAACUAGAUAAUGGUAGGGGAUGGCGGAAUUCCUAGUGUAGAGGUGAAAUUCGUAGAUAUUAGGAGGAACACCGGUGGCGAAGGCGGCCAUCUGGACCAUUUAUGACGCUAAGACGCGAAAGCGUGGGGAGCAAACAGG